Molecule: ribosomal RNA, 253 nt
Filed under: uncultured bacterium
Lineage: Bacteria
Description: partial 16S ribosomal RNA
Rfam family: Bacterial small subunit ribosomal RNA
Source: RNAcentral
GACAGAGGGGGCGAGCGCUAACCGGGGGCACUGGGCGUAAAGCGCGCGCGGGCGGAUAGAUAAGUCGGGGGUGAAAGCCCGGGGCUCAACCUCGGAAUUGCCUUCGAUACUGUCGGUCUCGAGUCCGGGAGAGGUGAGUGGAAUUCCUAGUGUAGAGGUGAAAUUCGUAGAUAUUAGGAAGAACACCAGUGGCGAAGGCGGCUCACUGGCCCGGUACUGACGCUCAGGUGCGAAAGCGUGGGGAGCAAACAGG